GACUCCUACGGGAGGCAGCAGUGGGGAAUAUUGGACAAUGGGCGCAAGCCUGAUCCAGCAAUGCCGCGUGUGUGAAGAAGGCCUUCGGGUUGUAAAGCACUUUUAUCAGGAGCGAAAUACGAUGGGCUAAUACCCCAUCGGGCUGACGGUACCUGAGGAAUAAGCACCGGCUAACUUCGUGCCAGCAGCCGCGGUAAUACGAAGGGUGCAAGCGUUAAUCGGAAUUACUGGGCGUAAAGCGUGCGUAGGCGGUGAUUUAAGUCUGCUGUGAAAUCCCCGGGCUCAACCUGGGAAUGGCAGUGGAUACUGGAUCGCUAGAGUGUGAUAGAGGAUGGUGGAAUUCCCGGUGUAGCGGUGAAAUGCGUAGAGAUCGGGAGGAACAUCAGUGGCGAAGGCGGCCAUCUGGAUCAACACUGACGCUGAGGCACGAAAGCGUGGGGAGCAAACAGGAUUAGAUACCCUGGUAGUCCACGCCCUAAACGAUGCGAACUGGAUGUUGGUCUCAACUCGGAGAUCAGUGUCGAAGCUAACGCGUUAAGUUCGCCGCCUGGGGAGUACGGUCGCAAGACUGAAACUCAAAUGAAUUGACGGGG
Molecule: ribosomal RNA, 593 nt
Filed under: uncultured Dyella sp.
Lineage: Bacteria; Pseudomonadati; Pseudomonadota; Gammaproteobacteria; Lysobacterales; Rhodanobacteraceae
Description: bacterial SSU rRNA
Rfam family: Bacterial small subunit ribosomal RNA
Source: RNAcentral